AGUAGUUUUUAGUAGUGUCCCAUUUUCAGUGUGAGUAGCUGUAUGUAGCUCCGUUGAGUAAUCAGAGAAAAAUUGGUCGUUAGUAAGGCUAAACAGUCAUCAUCGGAUUGUGAAAGUGCAAAGACGUGUUUAUUCCCUGCAGUACGGCUGGUAUGAAUUCGUGAAUUGCACUAGUGAAUUCAUAUAUUACAAGUAACUAGUGAAUUCAGGACAACAAGGUAAUGCAGAGAAGCAAUAGUACAUAAGCGAGAUUGAGAGAGAAGAGAGCGCGAUCUAGAGUACGUUGUUCUCAAUAAGUACUCUCAGUAAAAUAUCAGCGACAAAUAAGGGUGGGAAUGCACAUUUGAGAGAUCUGGUACAGUAUGUACAAGUUGCGAAUAAUUAUUGGGCAUUAUUGUGUUUGCCUACAUAUCGGUCAUUGAAACCAUGAUUCACUGUAUUAAAAAAAUAAGAAAACGGCGGUUUCUAUGUAAUUUGGAACAUUAGUUUUUCGACCAAACAGUCUUGUGGUUUAUUCAAUUGACUUCGCGUCGCGGUUGUGUGUUUUGAUUUUUUAAUAUACAUAUUCAUUAUUAAAAAGUUAAUAAAGAAUUAAUAAACAAAAAAGUAUAAAUUAUUUAUAGUGAUAACAAAAAAGUGAAAAUGACGAGAAGCGUGGCAGCAGUAGGAAAGGAAAUAAGUCUUUGCGAGUUAGAGGUCAAAAAUGGCAAUCAUAUUGAAAUUCUCAUUGGGAAGUGGAGAACAGCGUGGAAUAAAGUCUUUCCUAACAAAUAGGAUGGGUAAAUAAUCUCAUUGGCCGACGCUUUUCAAGAGUACAAUACGAAUGGUAAAUAAAAAUUGUAAACAAAAAAUUAUAAUAAAAAUUAAUAUUUUAA
Zeugodacus cucurbitae (melon fly) is the source of this 875-nucleotide long non-coding RNA. RefSeq lists it as uncharacterized. The record is from RefSeq and is a predicted model, not a curated record. The transcript is spliced from 3 exons. NCBI's taxonomy places the organism in Eukaryota, Metazoa, Arthropoda, Insecta, Diptera, Tephritidae.